AGGCUCCAUUUUGCACUUUGGUUCUCAUAAUUCAUUUAAUUAGCUAUUUAGACCUCAAUAAUAGGUCAAAAAACAUUUGCUUCUAAGAAUUGUGCAAAGGAUCACAUUUUUAGCCCUUAAACAGUUAAACGUUACUAAAACAUUUUAGCCCUUUAAGAAUUGGGCAAAAAAAAAUCACCAAAAACAUUUUCCCCUCUAAGAAUUGGGCAAAAAACAUUUUUAGCCCUUAAAUUCUUUGACUGCAAGUUUCAUUUAAAUGCCACAAUAGUUA
Molecule: long non-coding RNA, 271 nt
Filed under: Coffea arabica (coffee)
Lineage: Eukaryota; Viridiplantae; Streptophyta; Magnoliopsida; Gentianales; Rubiaceae
Description: long non-coding RNA (CARA_LNC006247)
Source: RNAcentral